GUCAAGUCAUCAUGGCCCUUAUGUCCAGGGCUACACACGUGCUACAAUGGGUGGUACAAAGCGCAGCGAGUCCGCGAGGAUUGAGCGAACCGCCGAAAGCCGCCCGUAGUUCGGAUUGAAGUCUGAAACCCGACUUCAUGAAGUUGGAAUCGCUAGUAAUCGCGCAUCAGCAUGGCGCGGUGAAUACGUUCCCGGGCCUU
Molecule: ribosomal RNA, 200 nt
Filed under: uncultured prokaryote
Description: partial 16S ribosomal RNA
Rfam family: Bacterial small subunit ribosomal RNA
Source: RNAcentral